UAAGAGAUUAGUGGAGUAUCAUUUGUGUGGCGGUAUGACGUGCGGUGUGUUAAUAAUGCGUAGCGGUUUCAUCCCCGAAAAUAAUGUUGAAAAAAAAAUAACGUAAAUAUAAAACUGUUGAGCAGUUUGUUUUUUUAGAUGUUCUGGAAAACAAAUUACAAAUUCCGGAAAAAGUGAAUACGUUCCGAGAUGAUUCACUCAAAUAGAUCACUUGGAAUAAUAAAUGGCAAUAAUGCCUAGAAAAUCGUUUGUAACCGUGUU
Molecule: non-coding RNA, 261 nt
Organism: Cinara cedri
Lineage: Eukaryota; Metazoa; Arthropoda; Insecta; Hemiptera; Aphididae
Source: the annotation of a GenBank genome assembly